AUGAAUGCCCGUCAGUCCACCCUUUUUCGUAGCUGCGCAGUCGGUCGGCGCGAGUUUCGUUGGCCCGUGACGCGCAGUGCUACGCAGCAAGAAGCCGAGCCGCUUGUCCCUGUUCGGGGGCAGCGGCUUUUUUC
Molecule: non-coding RNA, 134 nt
Filed under: Burkholderia gladioli
Lineage: Bacteria; Pseudomonadati; Pseudomonadota; Betaproteobacteria; Burkholderiales; Burkholderiaceae
Description: BcKCsr2
Rfam family: Burkholderia sRNA 2
About the family: Upregulated in response to iron ion depletion. Predicted targets include MerR family transcriptional regulator.
Source: RNAcentral